UGGUGGCUCAAUGCAGCAGGGAAGCGACGGUGCAAAGCGCCAGAAGAAGUUUGGCUCCCAUGGCCAUGUCAAGAAGGGACCCGGGUCCUCGGCGGCGGCGGCGGCGACCGGGCGGAGGUUGCCGUCUCUGUGCGCUCCCGGGUAGAGGAAAGGCGAAAGCGGGAAACGGCCGUUGAGCACCCAAAGAAAGCGGUCCGGAGUUGCCGAUCCACGCAAUGCGGUUGGAAGCGAGAGAGCGGGGAAAGUGCUGCGCUCGGGGCUCGGGCGAAAGGAGCUUUCGAGACCUCGGCC
Pseudonaja textilis is the source of this 291-nucleotide non-coding RNA. The record is from RefSeq and is a predicted model, not a curated record. NCBI's taxonomy places the organism in Eukaryota, Metazoa, Chordata, Lepidosauria, Squamata, Elapidae.